This 170-nucleotide ribosomal RNA is filed under the name uncultured Chloroflexota bacterium. Its description in RNAcentral is "uncultured Chloroflexi bacterium partial 16S ribosomal RNA". It matches the Rfam family "Bacterial small subunit ribosomal RNA", at positions 338 to 524 of the family's 1533-position model. Lineage: Bacteria; Bacillati; Chloroflexota. The record is from RNAcentral.
CCUACGGGAGGCAGCAGUGAGGAAUAUUGCACAAUGGGGGAAACCCUGAUGCAGCAACGCCGCGUGGGUGAUGAAGGCCUUCGGGUUGUAAAACCCUUUUCUGGGGGACGAGACAGGACGGUACCCCAGGAAUAAGUCCCGGCUAACUUCGUGCCAGCAGCCGCGGUAAU